Molecule: ribosomal RNA, 253 nt
Filed under: uncultured bacterium
Lineage: Bacteria
Description: partial 16S ribosomal RNA
Rfam family: Bacterial small subunit ribosomal RNA
Source: RNAcentral
UACGUAGGGUGCGAGCGUUGUCCGGAAUUACUGGGCGUAAAGAGCUUGUAGGUGGUUUGUCGCGUUGUUCGUGAAAUCUCACGGCUUAACUGUGAGCGUGCGGGCGAUACGGGCAGACUAGAGUACUGCAGGGGAGACUGGAAUUCCUGGUGUAGCGGUGGAAUGCGCAGAUAUCAGGAGGAACACCGGUGGCGAAGGCGGGUCUCUGGGCAGUAACUGACGCUGAGGCGCGAAAGCGUGGGGAGCAAACAGG